Cebus imitator (Panamanian white-faced capuchin) is the source of this 607-nucleotide long non-coding RNA. RefSeq lists it as uncharacterized. NCBI's taxonomy places the organism in Eukaryota, Metazoa, Chordata, Mammalia, Primates, Cebidae. The transcript has 3 exons. The record is from RefSeq and is a predicted model, not a curated record.
UGUUUCCUAGGAAUAAGGUUCUAUUUGUACUUCUAGAAUAGCUUCUUCUUUCUGUAACAUUCUGUUAAGAUGUGUCCAGAUCUCCUAAAGCCACAGAAUCCCAGAGACUCAAAGUAAACUUUCUCUUUGGCAAAUCAGAAGGCUCCGCAUAAAUAGAUCCAAUGUUAAACAUUUACCUGCACACAUUGGCCUCAGCUUCAUUAUUGUUAAAAUGAGCUAGAUGCUAUUUUCCAGCAGCUCACACUCCAAUUCCAAUCGACCUGACCAGCAGAAGAGACAAAAAGGGAAAAUCCUGGCCGGGUCUCCCCUAUAUGAUCUACCAGUAACAUCAUCAGGUUUGCAAGACCUCAAGAAAAUAAACCUGAAAAUACCUCUGGAGGUGUGUGUCUUGCCAAUGAAAACAGAAUCAGAAACAAAACCUGCACAAUCAGGACAAAGAAACAAAGAACAGGGGUCUCAGCUGUGAACCUUAUGAUGGAUGAGAAAAAGAUUCUUUUUUUCCCCUUACAGUUUCUGGCAGGCAACAUGGAGUGGCUGAGAUUCCCCACUAGUUCCAGAACCUGCAGAUGAGAUCCUGGGACAACUAAUAAAACACAACAAAAGUUAA